This is a long non-coding RNA of Arabidopsis thaliana (thale cress), 787 nucleotides long. RefSeq annotates it as other RNA. The transcript has a single exon. Lineage: Eukaryota; Viridiplantae; Streptophyta; Magnoliopsida; Brassicales; Brassicaceae. The record is from RefSeq.
CAUGUGGGCUUUUAUUAAACACCGUUAAUUAAGUACGUUACGUUGUUAAAACAAUAUGAUUUUCGUAGUUGAUUUUUUUUGUUUAAUAAAAAAAAACCCUAAACACGACAAAAGAUGUGUAUAUGUUUUUUUUUACAUUGGACAUCUCACAUAUGAAAAAUGUCGGAACGACUCUGGCGAUGGCCCAUCUCACUCAAAUUUUCAAAGACAUAUUUGAUAAGAUUUCAUCCGCUUAACAUUUUUAAAGAACGCAAGGAACUGAGGAAGAAGUUAUCAACGGCUUAUACUUCGACGGGGAUAUUUCUAGUAAUUUAAGAAACGGUUCCCAACUAUAUAUUCUCUCUUAACCAGAGGUGGUGGGCUAGUGGUUCUAGUCUGGUGGAAGAGUGGCCCUGUUGGUCUAGGUCAGGGAUCGACUCUCCCCAAACGCAGAAUUGCUUAGCAACAUCCCUUUGGCCACAUGGGUAUAGGCCUACUGCUUAAGGCCCAUUUGAAAACCCGGUGAGAAUCCUACCCAUGGGAUACCCUCUCCCGAGGGAUUAAUCUUGAACUCCUCCAUAAAUUCGGAGAUUUACCCUAAAUUAUCAAAAAAAACAAAAAAAACUAUAUAUCCUCUCGUAUGACUAAACUUCCUCGCAUCUUUUAAAUUUGAUGCAGUCGACUCGUAGUUUGCUCUUGGACAAACUCGACAUAUAAUCCCAAUUGUGUUUUUAUUAAUAUUUCUUGUUCGACGCUGUUUUUUUUUUUCAUUUAGUUUUUUAACCCACCACCUUCGUUGUGAAUUACU